Molecule: ribosomal RNA, 119 nt
Filed under: Pteropus alecto (black flying fox)
Lineage: Eukaryota; Metazoa; Chordata; Mammalia; Chiroptera; Pteropodidae
Source: RNAcentral
GUCUACGGCCAUGUUACCCUGAACAAGCCCGAUCCCGUCUGAUCUCAGAACCUAAGCAGGGUUGGGCCUGGUUAGUACUUGGAUGGGAGACCACCUAGGAAGAUCAGGUGUCUUAGGUC